UACGUAGGGUGCAAGCGUUGUCCGGAAUUAUUGGGCGUAAAGAGCUCGUAGGCGGUUUGUCGCGUCUGCUGUGAAAACUCGGGGCUUAACCCCGGGCCUGCAGUGGGUACGGGCAGACUAGAGUGCGGUAGGGGAGACUGGAAUUCCUGGUGUAGCGGUGAAAUGCGCAGAUAUCAGGAGGAACACCGGUGGCGAAGGCGGGUCACUGGGUAUCUUCUGACGCUGAGGGACGAAAGCGUGGGGAGCAAACAGG
Molecule: ribosomal RNA, 253 nt
Filed under: uncultured bacterium
Lineage: Bacteria
Description: partial 16S ribosomal RNA
Rfam family: Bacterial small subunit ribosomal RNA
Source: RNAcentral